This 254-nucleotide ribosomal RNA is filed under the name Fusarium commune. Its description in RNAcentral is "partial large subunit ribosomal RNA". It matches the Rfam family "Eukaryotic large subunit ribosomal RNA", at positions 351 to 624 of the family's 3401-position model. The record is from RNAcentral. Lineage: Eukaryota; Fungi; Ascomycota; Sordariomycetes; Hypocreales; Nectriaceae.
GAGUGAUCGAAAGAUGAAAAGCACUUUGAAAAGAGAGUUAAAAAGUACGUGAAAUUGUUGAAAGGGAAGCGUUUAUGACCAGACUUGGGCUUGGUUAAUCAUCUGGGGUUCUCCCCAGUGCACUUUUCCAGUCCAGGCCAGCAUCAGUUUUCCCCGGGGGAUAAAGGCGGCGGGAAUGUGGCUCUCUUCGGGGAGUGUUAUAGCCCGCCGUGUAAUACCCUGGGGGGGACUGAGGUUCGCGCAUCUGCAAGGAU